This 36-nucleotide unclassified non-coding RNA is filed under the name 'Carica papaya' bunchy top phytoplasma. RNAcentral describes it as "partial 16S-23S ribosomal RNA intergenic spacer". The record is from RNAcentral. Lineage: Bacteria; Bacillati; Mycoplasmatota; Mollicutes; Acholeplasmatales; Acholeplasmataceae.
CUAAGGAUAAAGUUAUCAUCUUCAGUUUUGACAGAC